This 473-nucleotide ribosomal RNA is filed under the name uncultured organism. RNAcentral's name for it is "partial 16S ribosomal RNA". It matches the Rfam family "Bacterial small subunit ribosomal RNA", at positions 335 to 799 of the family's 1533-position model. The record is from RNAcentral.
ACUCCUACGGGAGGCAGCAGUGGGGAAUAUUGCACAAUGGGCGCAAGCCUGAUGCAGCCAUGCCGCGUGUAUGAAGAAGGCCUUCGGGUUGUAAAGUACUUUCAGCGGGGAGGAAGGCGAUAAGGUUAAUAACCUUGUCGAUUGACGUUACCCGCAGAAGAAGCACCGGCUAACUCCGUGCCAGCAGCCGCGGUAAUACGGAGGGUGCAAGCGUUAAUCGGAAUUACUGGGCGUAAAGCGCACGCAGGCGGUCUGUCAAGUCGGAUGUGAAAUCCCCGGGCUCAACCUGGGAACUGCAUUCGAAACUGGCAGGCUAGAGUCUUGUAGAGGGGGGUAGAAUUCCAGGUGUAGCGGUGAAAUGCGUAGAGAUCUGGAGGAAUACCGGUGGCGAAGGCGGCCCCCUGGACAAAGACUGACGCUCAGGUGCGAAAGCGUGGGGAGCAAACAGGAUUAGAUACCCUUGUAGUCCCAUG